CCCUUAGACACUCUAGGCGGCACGCGCGCUACAAUGGGUGGAAGACCGUGUUACUGCCUUCGAAAGAAGGGGUGAAUCACGAAUUCUUACCCGUGAAUGGGAUAGUUUGUUGCAAUUUUCGGACUUGAACUAGGAAUCCCUUGUAAGCAUGCUCAAGAAUAGCGUGUUGAAUACGUCCCUGCCCUUUGUACACACCGCCCGUCGCUCCUACCGAUCGAAGAGUUAGGUGAAUUGUUUUGAUCGAUAAGAUUUGACUAUGGUCAACUCUCGUUGUGAAAUUCUGUGAAUCUGACUGUUUAGAGGAAGGAAAAGUCGUAACA
Molecule: ribosomal RNA, 320 nt
Filed under: uncultured eukaryote
Lineage: Eukaryota
Description: partial 18S ribosomal RNA
Rfam family: Eukaryotic small subunit ribosomal RNA
Source: RNAcentral